UAGUCUAAGAAGGGGCGGCACAGGAAACAACAGCCAUCGCCUUGCGCUGCCUCGACAACGAUCCCAACAAUCGACCGGCCAUGACGAAGGCCUUGGCCGCCCUCGACGACGUCCAGACGUCUACAGCUGCUCCCAGAAUCUCACAUCGAGCUGUGAAUCACAAGCUGAGUCCUCAUAGACAAUGAGGCAGUCGAGGUUAGAGUAGUAGAUGUAUUUAUGUUGAUGUAUUUGGAAAUAUGUUGGGAGAUGCAACUUUUGAGUGUGCUACAUAUUUUGAGUGGCUUCAUUAACAAUGAUUUAAUGUAAUGUUGGAUGAACGAUGUUUGAAUGAAUGUAUGAAUUUUUAGUAUUAACGAAUGUAUUUUUUGCUUUCUAUUAUGAGUUUUUGGAUCUUAUGAAAUAUAUAUUAAAAAAAUAGAAAAUAUAAAUAUAAGUGCCAAAAAAAUUGUAAUAUUUGAAAUAAAAAGCGAAUAGACGACGGUCACUAU
Molecule: long non-coding RNA, 488 nt
Filed under: Salvia miltiorrhiza (redroot sage)
Lineage: Eukaryota; Viridiplantae; Streptophyta; Magnoliopsida; Lamiales; Lamiaceae
Description: long non-coding RNA (SMIL_LNC001875)
Source: RNAcentral